UACGUAGGGGGCAAGCGUUGUCCGGAAUCAUUGGGCGUAAAGAGCGCGUAGGCGGCCCAGUAAGUCCGCUCUGAAAGUCAGGGGCUCAACCCCUGGAUGCGGGUGGAUACUGCUGGGCUAGAGUCCGGAAGAGGUGAGUGGAAUUCCUGGUGUAGCGGUGAAAUGCGCAGAUAUCAGGAAGAACACCCGUGGCGAAGGCGGUUCUCUGGGACGGUACUGACGCUGAGACGCGAAAGCGUGGGGAGCGAACAGG
RNAcentral lists this ribosomal RNA (253 nucleotides) under uncultured bacterium. Its description in RNAcentral is "partial 16S ribosomal RNA". It matches the Rfam family "Bacterial small subunit ribosomal RNA", at positions 524 to 776 of the family's 1533-position model. The record is from RNAcentral.